GAUGAACGCUAGCUACAGGCUUAACACAUGCAAGUCGAGGGGAAACGACAUCGAAAGCUUGCUUUUGAUGGGCGUCGACCGGCGCACGGGUGAGUAACGCGUAUCCAACCUGCCCACCACUUGGGGAUAACCUUGCGAAAGUAAGACUAAUACCCAAUGAUAUCCCACGAAGACAUCUGAAUGGGAUUAAAGAUUUAUCGGUGAUGGAUGGGGAUGCGUCUGAUUAGCUUGUUGGCGGGGUAACGGCCCACCAAGGCAACGAUCAGUAGGGGUUCUGAGAGGAAGGUCCCCCACAUUGGAACUGAGACCCGGUCCAAACUCCUACGGGAGGCAGCAGUGAGGAAUAUUGGUCAAUGGGCGAGAGCCUGAACCAGCCAAGUAGCGUGCAGGAAGACGGCCCUAUGGGUUGUAAACUGCUUUUAUAAGGGAAUAAAGUGGGUCACGUGUGACUUUUUGCAUGUACCUUAUGAAUAAGGACCGGCUAAUUCCGUG
Molecule: ribosomal RNA, 492 nt
Filed under: uncultured bacterium
Lineage: Bacteria
Description: partial 16S ribosomal RNA
Rfam family: Bacterial small subunit ribosomal RNA
Source: RNAcentral